Molecule: transfer RNA, 73 nt
Filed under: Ailuropoda melanoleuca (giant panda)
Lineage: Eukaryota; Metazoa; Chordata; Mammalia; Carnivora; Ursidae
Rfam family: tRNA
About the family: Transfer RNA (tRNA) molecules are approximately 80 nucleotides in length. Their secondary structure includes four short double-helical elements and three loops (D, anti-codon, and T loops). Further hydrogen bonds mediate the characteristic L-shaped molecular structure. tRNAs have two regions of fundamental functional importance: the anti-codon, which is responsible for specific mRNA codon recognition, and the 3' end, to which the tRNAs corresponding amino acid is attached (by aminoacyl-tRNA synthetases). tRNAs cope with the degeneracy of the genetic code in two manners: having more than one tRNA (with a specific anti-codon) for a particular amino acid; and 'wobble' base-pairing, i.e. permitting non-standard base-pairing at the 3rd anti-codon position.
Source: Rfam by way of RNAcentral
ACCCGUCUGUCUCAGUCGGUAGAGGGUGCGACUCCUAAUCUCAGGGUCGUGAGUUCAAGCCCCAUGUUGGGGG